This is a long non-coding RNA of Bactrocera neohumeralis, 340 nucleotides long. RefSeq lists it as uncharacterized. The transcript has 2 exons. The record is from RefSeq and is a predicted model, not a curated record. NCBI's taxonomy places the organism in Eukaryota, Metazoa, Arthropoda, Insecta, Diptera, Tephritidae.
AUAGUUUUAUAAUUUAUCAUCAGUUUUUCUAAGUUUUAUAAAUAAAAAAGAAACCGUGAAGAUACGGUAUUGGGUCUAGACGGCGUUGUAAGAUCCUCGUAAUCCGCCAUCUUUUUCCGGUUAUACACGUGGUACCGGCAUAAGGCAUUCUCGUGCACCGCUUGUUUCCAUUCGUGUUUCUGAAAACAAGAUCUGCACAAUCUUCCUGUUAUUCGUAAGCAUCGUUAAAUAGCAUGUAAUUGAAUUUUUAUCGGCUCUUGACACAUCUUAUUUUCUACACAUUCUAUUUCUAUAAAGUAAUAUAUAUAACUAAAACUUCACUUCGACGGAAGCUGUGCUG